UACGUAGGGUUCAAGCGUUAUCCGGAAUUAUUGGGCGUAAAGAGCUCGUAGGCGGUUUGUCGCGUCUGCUGUGAAAACCCGAGGCUCAACCUCGGGCCUGCAGUGGGUACGGGCAGACUAGAGUGCGGUAGGGGAGAUUGGAAUUCCUGGUGUAGCGGUGGAAUGCGCAGAUAUCAGGAGGAACACCGAUGGCGAAGGCAGAUCUCUGGGCCGUAACUGACGCUGAGGAGCGAAAGCGUGGGGAGCGAACAGG
This 253-nucleotide ribosomal RNA is filed under the name uncultured bacterium. RNAcentral describes it as "partial 16S ribosomal RNA". It matches the Rfam family "Bacterial small subunit ribosomal RNA", at positions 524 to 776 of the family's 1533-position model. The record is from RNAcentral.